Molecule: long non-coding RNA, 470 nt
Organism: Aphis gossypii (cotton aphid)
Lineage: Eukaryota; Metazoa; Arthropoda; Insecta; Hemiptera; Aphididae
Exons: 3
Source: RefSeq, a predicted model, not a curated record
GUUCAUAAUUCCAAGGACAAAACUCUUAAGAGUAAAAAGAAAAUCGAAAUAUACGGUUCGGCGGUCUUAAUAGUGCCUAUAUAAAAUAUAACAAUUUUUCAAAUCCUAAUAAGCAAAUAAGUAUGAAUCUUCUACAUAUUAUAUAACGUAACAUUGUAUGAUGUCGGUGAAAAUAUCAAAAAAAUUGGACGUUUUUGGCGGAGGCCUUCGUGUAAACAUUGGAAACCGCCCGGAAACUUCCAAAAAGUAUAGUCGUGUAGUGCGUGGCGUUUGGUGGGAGCGAGUUAAUGGCGCCCGGAGCCCUUGACAUUGUCGUGCCUGAAUUGCCUAAUCGGAACGCCGGCCAAAGAAUCGGUUUCGACUGAACGACUAGUAAACGCACGCCGCAGCUAUACUAUUAAUAUUUAUUAUUAUUAUUAAAAUGUUUUACGCGGUUUUAUGAUGUUCAUUGCUACUUAAUUUUCAAUACG